GCGGAGGAAAAGAAACCAACAGGGAUUGCCCUAGUAACGGCGAGUGAAGCGGCAACAGCUCAAAUUUGAAAUCUGGCGUCUUCGGCGUCCGAGUUGUAAUUUGCAGAGGGCGCUUUGGCAUUGGCAGCGGUCCAAGUUCCUUGGAACAGGACGUCACAGAGGGUGAGAAUCCCGUACGUGGUCGCUAGCCUUUACCGUGUAAAGCCCCUUCGACGAGUCGAGUUGUUUGGGAAUGCAGCUCUAAAUGGGAGGUAAAUUUCUUCUAAAGCUAAAUACUGGCCAGAGACCGAUAGCGCACAAGUAGAGUGAUCGAAAGAUGAAAAGCACUUUGGAAAGAGAGUUAAAAAGCACGUGAAAUUGUUGAAAGGGAAGCGCUUGCAGCCAGACUUGCCUGUAGUUGCUCAUCCGGGUUUCUACCCGGUGCACUCUUCUACGGGCAGGCCAGCAUCAGUUUGGGCGGUUGGAUAAAGGUCUCUGUCAUGUACCUCUCUUCGGGGAGAACUUAUAGGGGAGACGACAUGCAACCAGCCUGGACUGAGGUCCGCGCAUCUGCUAGGAUGCUGGCGUAAUGGCUGUAAGCGGCCCGUCUUGAAACACGGACCAAGGAGUCUAACAUCUAUGCGAGUGUUUGGGUGUCAAGCCCGAGCGCGUAAUGAAAGUGAACGGAGGUGGGAACCUUUCGGGGUGCACCAUCGACCGAUCCUGAUGUCUUCGGAUGGAUUUGAGUAAGAGCAUAGCUGUUGGGACCCGAAAGAUGGUGAACUAUGCUUGAAUAGGGUGAAGCCAGAGGAAACUCUGGUGGAGGCUCGCAGCGGUUCUGACGUGCAAAUCGAUCGUCAAAUUUGGGCAUAGGGGCGAAAGACUAAUCGAACUAUCUAGUAGCUGGUUCCUG
This 892-nucleotide small RNA is filed under the name Didymella sp. 1 NV-2015. RNAcentral's name for it is "eukaryotic LSU rRNA". It matches the Rfam family "Eukaryotic large subunit ribosomal RNA", at positions 50 to 960 of the family's 3401-position model. The record is from RNAcentral. Lineage: Eukaryota; Fungi; Ascomycota; Dothideomycetes; Pleosporales; Didymellaceae.